CGCAUUGCAGGUGGUUUGUUAAGUCAGAUGUUGAAAGCCCGGGGCUCAACCUCGGAAUUGCAUUUGAAACUGGCAAACUAGAGUACUGUAGAGGGGGUAGAAUUUCAGGUGUAGCGGUGAAAUGCGUAGAGAUCUGAAGGAAUACCGGUGGCGAAGGCGGCCCCCCUGGACAGAUACUGACACUCAGAUUGCGAAAGCGUGGGGAGCAAACAGGAUUAGAUACCCCUGGUAG
This 232-nucleotide ribosomal RNA is filed under the name uncultured bacterium. Its description in RNAcentral is "partial 16S ribosomal RNA". It matches the Rfam family "Bacterial small subunit ribosomal RNA", at positions 567 to 793 of the family's 1533-position model. The record is from RNAcentral.